AACGAACGCUGGCGGCGCGUCUUAAGCAUGCAAGUCGAACGGCAAGAGAGGAGCUCGCUUCUCUCCUAGAGUGGCGGACUGGUGAGGAACACGUGGGUAAUCUACCCUUAAGAUGGGGAUAGCUGCUAGAAAUAGCAGGUAAUACCGAAUACACUCGGCAUAUCACAAGAGGUGUUGAGGAAAGGAAGCUACGGCUUCGCUUGAGGAUGAGCUUGCGUCCCAUUAGCUAGUUGGUGAGGUAAAGGCCCACCAAGGCGACGAUGGGUAUCCGGCCUGAGAGGGUGAACGGACACAUUGGGACUGAGAUACGGCCCAAACUCCUACGGGAGGCAGCAGCUAAGAAUAUUCCGCAAUGGACGGAAGUCUGACGGAGCGACGCCGCGUGGAUGAAGAAGGCUGAAAAGUUGUAAAAUCCUUUUGUUGAUGAAGAAUAAGGGUGAGAGGGAAUGCUCAUCUGAUGACGGUAAUCGACGAAUAAGCCCCGGCUAAUUACGUG
Molecule: ribosomal RNA, 496 nt
Filed under: uncultured bacterium
Lineage: Bacteria
Description: partial 16S ribosomal RNA
Rfam family: Bacterial small subunit ribosomal RNA
Source: RNAcentral